Molecule: small RNA, 67 nt
Organism: Citrobacter koseri ATCC BAA-895
Lineage: Bacteria; Pseudomonadati; Pseudomonadota; Gammaproteobacteria; Enterobacterales; Enterobacteriaceae
Source: Rfam
GAAAGCACGACAUUGCUCACAUUGCUUCCAGUAUGAUUUUGCCCGCACUCUGUUGCGGGCUUUUUUU